CCUACGGGAGGCAGCAGUGAGGAAUAUUGGUCAAUGGGCGGGAGCCUGAACCAGCCAAGUCGCGUGAGGGAAGACGGUCCUAUGGAUUGUAAACCUCUUUAGGCGGGGAGCAAUGCCCGGCACGCGUGCCCGGAGGGAGAGUACCCGCAGAAUCAGCCUCGGCUAACUCCGUGCCAGCCGCCGCCGUAAUACGGAGGGUGCAAGCGUUAUCCGGAUUUACUGGGUGAAACGGGGGCGGCGACGGCAGCGCAAGCCAGGAGUGAAAGCCCGGGGCCCAACCCCGGGACUGCUCUUGGAACGGGGCGGCUGGAGUGCAGGAGGGGCAGGCGGAAUUCCUGGUGUAGCGGUGAAAUGCGUAGAUAUCAGGAGGAACACCGGUGGCGAAGGCGGCCUGCUGGACUGCGACUGACGUUGAGGCCCGAAAGCGUGGGGAGCAAACAGGAUUAGAUACCCGGGUAGUC
This 461-nucleotide ribosomal RNA is filed under the name uncultured bacterium. RNAcentral's name for it is "partial 16S ribosomal RNA". It matches the Rfam family "Bacterial small subunit ribosomal RNA", at positions 338 to 795 of the family's 1533-position model. The record is from RNAcentral.